Molecule: non-coding RNA, 148 nt
Filed under: uncultured Lachnospira sp.
Lineage: Bacteria; Bacillati; Bacillota; Clostridia; Lachnospirales; Lachnospiraceae
Source: RNAcentral
AAGCUUAGUUAUUCUUAGUUGUGCUGUCUAAACACAGUGAUGCCCCAACAGGACGUUGGGGCAAACAAUCAGCGACACGAUGUAGUAUUGAUUGUGGUCACGUCUGUAUUUCAAUACAUAAAUCAGCACAUCUUAGAAUUACUUAGCU